GUCUCCGUAGCUCAGUGGAUAGAGCACUGGUUUCCGGUACCAAAGGUCGCAGGUUCGAAUCCUGUCGGGGACA
RNAcentral lists this transfer RNA (73 nucleotides) under Corynebacterium marinum. RNAcentral's name for it is "tRNA-Arg". It matches the Rfam family "tRNA". From Rfam's summary of the family: Transfer RNA (tRNA) molecules are approximately 80 nucleotides in length. Lineage: Bacteria; Bacillati; Actinomycetota; Actinomycetes; Mycobacteriales; Corynebacteriaceae. RNAcentral also lists the same sequence under 1 other name. The record is from RNAcentral.